GUGCUAGCUUCAGCAGCACAUAUACUAAAAUUGGAAAGAUAUAGAGAAGAUCAGCAUGGCCCCUGCGCAAGGAUGACACACAAAUUCAUGAAGCGUUCCAUAUUAAA
This is a small nuclear RNA of Erinaceus europaeus (western European hedgehog), 107 nucleotides long. The record is from Ensembl. Lineage: Eukaryota; Metazoa; Chordata; Mammalia; Eulipotyphla; Erinaceidae.